GAUGAAGAACGCAGCGAAAUGCGAUACGUAAUGUGAAUUGCAAAUUCAGUGAAUCAUCGAGUCUUUGAACGCACAUUGCGCCCCCUGGUAUUCCGGGGGGCAUGCCUGUCCGAGCGUCAUUGCUGCCCUCAAGCACGGCUUGUGUGUUGGGCCCCGUCCUCCGAUCCCGGGGGACGGGCCCGAAAGGCAGCGGCGGCACCGCGUCCGGUCCUCGAGCGUAUGGGGCUUUGUCACCCGCUCUGUAGGCCCGGCCGGCGCUUGCCGAUCAACCCAAAUUUUUAUCCAGGUUGACCUCGGAUCAGGUAGGGAUACCCGCUGAACUUAAGCAUAUCAAAAAGCGGAGGA
Molecule: unclassified non-coding RNA, 345 nt
Filed under: soil metagenome
Description: partial contains 5.8S ribosomal RNA, internal transcribed spacer 2, and large subunit ribosomal RNA
Rfam family: 5.8S ribosomal RNA (bases 1-119)
Source: RNAcentral